This 523-nucleotide ribosomal RNA is filed under the name uncultured bacterium. RNAcentral describes it as "bacterial SSU rRNA". It matches the Rfam family "Bacterial small subunit ribosomal RNA", at positions 370 to 886 of the family's 1533-position model. The record is from RNAcentral.
AAUGGGCGCAAGCCUGAUCCAGCCAUGCCGCGUGCAGGAUGAAGGCCUUCGGGUUGUAAACUGCUUUUGUACGGAACGAAAAGCCCUGGGUUAAUACCCUGGGGUCAUGACGGUACCGUAAGAAUAAGCACCGGCUAACUACGUGCCAGCAGCCGCGGUAAUACGUAGGGUGCAAGCGUUAAUCGGAAUUACUGGGCGUAAAGCGUGCGCAGGCGGUUUUGUAAGACAGUGGUGAAAUCCCCGGGCUCAACCUGGGAACUGCCAUUGUGACUGCAAGGCUAGAGUGCGGCAGAGGGGGAUGGAAUUCCGCGUGUAGCAGUGAAAUGCGUAGAUAUGCGGAGGAACACCGAUGGCGAAGGCAAUCCCCUGGGCCUGCACUGACGCUCAUGCACGAAAGCGUGGGGAGCAAACAGGAUUAGAUACCCUGGUAGUCCACGCCCUAAACGAUGUCAACUGGUUGUUGGGUCUUAACUGACUCAGUAACGAAGCUAACGCGUGAAGUUGACCGCCUGGGGAGUACGGC